Molecule: non-coding RNA, 24 nt
Filed under: Rattus norvegicus (Norway rat)
Lineage: Eukaryota; Metazoa; Chordata; Mammalia; Rodentia; Muridae
Source: RNAcentral
UUCUAAGGCUUUAGGAGAGGGUGG